RNAcentral lists this ribosomal RNA (253 nucleotides) under uncultured bacterium. RNAcentral's name for it is "partial 16S ribosomal RNA". It matches the Rfam family "Bacterial small subunit ribosomal RNA", at positions 524 to 776 of the family's 1533-position model. The record is from RNAcentral.
UACGUAGGGGGCAAGCGUUGUCCGGAAUUAUUGGGCGUAAAGAGCGCGUAGGCGGUCUGAUAAGUCGGUUGUGAAAGUCGGGGGCUCAACCCUCGGAUGCCGAUCGAUACUGUCAGGCUAGAGUCCGGAAGAGGCGAGUGGAAUUCCUGGUGUAGCGGUGAAAUGCGCAGAUAUCAGGAGGAACACCAAUGGCGAAGGCAGCUCGCUGGGACGGUACUGACGCUGAGGCGCGAAAGCGUGGGGAGCAAACAGG